GGUUAAGCGACUAAGCGUACACGGUGGAUGCCCUGGCAGUCAGAGGCGAUGAAGGACGUGCUAAUCUGCGAUAAGCGUCGGUAAGGUGAUAUGAACCGUUAUAACCGGCGAUUUCCGAAUGGGGAAACCCAGUGUGAUUCGUCACACUAUCAUUAACUGAAUCCAUAGGUUAAUGAGGCGAACCGGGGGAACUGAAACAUCUAAGUACCCCGAGGAAAAGAAAUCAACCGAGAUUCCCCCAGUAGCGGCGAGCGAACGGGGAGCAGCCCAGAGCCUGAAUCAGUGUGUGUGUUAGUGGAAGCGUCUGGAAAGGCGCGCGAUACAGGGUGACAGCCCCGUACACAAAAAUGCACAUGCUGUGAGCUCGAUGAGUAGGGCGGGACACGUGGUAUCCUGUCUGAAUAUGGGGGGACCAUCCUCCAAGGCUAAAUACUCCUGACUGACCGAUAGUGAACCAGUACCGUGAGGGAAAGGCGAAAAGAACCCCGGCGAGGGGAGUGAAAAAGAACCUGAAACCGUGUACGUACAAGCAGUGGGAGCACGCUUAGGCGUGUGACUGCGUACCUUUUGUAUAAUGGGUCAGCGACUUAUAUUCUGUAGCAAGGUUAACCGAAUAGGGGAGCCGAAGGGAAACCGAGUCUUAACUGGGCGUUAAGUUGCAGGGUAUAGACCCGAAACCCGGUGAUCUAGCCAUGGGCAGGUUGAAGGUUGGGUAACACUAACUGGAGGACCGAACCGACUAAUGUUGAAAAAUUAGCGGAUGACUUGUGGCUGGGGGUGAAAGGCCAAUCAAACCGGGAGAUAGCUGGUUCUCCCCGAAAGCUAUUUAGGUAGCGCCUCGUGAAUUCAUCUCCGGGGGUAGAGCACUGUUUCGGCAAGGGGGUCAUCCCGACUUACCAACCCGAUGCAAACUGCGAAUACCGGAGAAUGUUAUCACGGGAGACACACGGCGGGUGCUAACGUCCGUCGUGAAGAGGGAAACAACCCAGACCGCCAGCUAAGGUCCCAAAGUCAUGGUUAAGUGGGAAACGAUGUGGGAAGGCCCAGACAGCCAGGAUGUUGGCUUAGAAGCAGCCAUCAUUUAAAGAAAGCGUAAUAGCUCACUGGUCGAGUCGGCCUGCGCGGAAGAUGUAACGGGGCUAAACCAUGCACCGAAGCUGC
RNAcentral lists this ribosomal RNA (1161 nucleotides) under Escherichia coli. RNAcentral describes it as "partial 23S ribosomal RNA". It matches the Rfam family "Bacterial large subunit ribosomal RNA", at positions 1 to 1203 of the family's 2925-position model. The record is from RNAcentral. Lineage: Bacteria; Pseudomonadati; Pseudomonadota; Gammaproteobacteria; Enterobacterales; Enterobacteriaceae.